Molecule: ribosomal RNA, 446 nt
Filed under: uncultured bacterium
Lineage: Bacteria
Description: bacterial SSU rRNA
Rfam family: Bacterial small subunit ribosomal RNA
Source: RNAcentral
GACGAACGCUGGCGGCGUGCCUAACACAUGCAAGUUGAGCGACGAACCAGGGCUUGCCCUGGGGCAAAGCAGCGAACGGGUGAGUAACACGUGGGUAACCUGCCCCGAUGACCGGGACAACCCGAGGAAACUCGAGCUAAUACCGGAUGUGGCCACUGGACUCAAGUCCGGUUGUCAAAGGAAGCUUCGGCCUCCGCAUUGGGAGGGGCCCGUGGCCCAUUAGCUAGUUGGUGAGGUAAGAGCUCACCAAGGCAACGAUGGGUAGCUGGUCUGAGAGGACGAUCAGCCACACUGGGACUGAGACACGGCCCAGACUCCUACGGGAGGCAGCAGUGGGGAAUCUUGCGCAAUGCGCGAAAGCGUGACGCAGCGACGCCGCGUGGGGGAUGACGACCUCGGUUGUAACCUCUUCUAGCUCCGACGAAGCGAAACGUGACGGUAGGAGC